Molecule: ribosomal RNA, 468 nt
Filed under: uncultured bacterium
Lineage: Bacteria
Description: partial 16S ribosomal RNA
Rfam family: Bacterial small subunit ribosomal RNA
Source: RNAcentral
GACGAACGCUGGCGGCGUGCUUAACACAUGCAAGUCGAACGGAAAGGCCCUGCUUUUGUGGGGUGCUCGAGUGGCGAACGGGUGAGUAACACGUGAGUAACCUGCCCUUGACUUUGGGAUAACUUCAGGAAACUGGGGCUAAUACCGGAUAGGAGCUCCUGCUGCAUGGUGGGGGUUGGAAAGUUUCGGCGGUUGGGGAUGGACUCGCGGCUUAUCAGCUUGUUGGUGGGGUAGUGGCUUACCAAGGCUUUGACGGGUAGCCGGCCUGAGAGGGGGACCGGCCACAUGGGGACUGAGAUACGGCCCAGACUCCUACGGGAGGCAGCAGUGGGAAAUAUUGCACAAUGGGCGGAAGCCUGAUGCAGCAACGCCGCGUGCGGGAUGACGGCCUUCGGGUUGUAAACCGCUUUCGCCUGUGACGAAGCGUGAGUGACGGUAAUGGGUAAAGAAGCACCGGCUAACUACGUG